UACGAAGGGGACUAGCGUUGUUCGGAAUCACUGGGCGUAAAGCGCACGUAGGCGGAUUCGUAAGUCAGGGGUGAAAUCCCGGGGCUCAACCUCGGAACUGCCUUUGAUACUGCGGGUCUCGAGUCCGAUAGAGGUGGGUGGAAUUCCUAGUGUAGAGGUGAAAUUCGUAGAUAUUAGGAAGAACACCGGUGGCGAAGGCGGCCCACUGGAUCGGUACUGACGCUGAGGUGCGAAAGCGUGGGGAGCAAACAGG
Molecule: ribosomal RNA, 253 nt
Filed under: uncultured Hyphomicrobium sp.
Lineage: Bacteria; Pseudomonadati; Pseudomonadota; Alphaproteobacteria; Hyphomicrobiales; Hyphomicrobiaceae
Description: partial 16S ribosomal RNA
Rfam family: Bacterial small subunit ribosomal RNA
Source: RNAcentral